GUGCUCGCUUCGGCAACACAUAUACUAAAAUUGGAACCAUACAAAAAGAUUAGCCAUGGCCCCUGCGAAAGGAUGACAUGCAAAUUCGUGAACCGUUCCAUAUUUUU
Small nuclear RNA from Suncus etruscus (white-toothed pygmy shrew), 107 nucleotides. Lineage: Eukaryota; Metazoa; Chordata; Mammalia; Eulipotyphla; Soricidae. The record is from RefSeq and is a predicted model, not a curated record.